RNAcentral lists this unclassified non-coding RNA (375 nucleotides) under soil metagenome. RNAcentral describes it as "partial contains 5.8S ribosomal RNA, internal transcribed spacer 2, and large subunit ribosomal RNA". The stretch from base 1 to 120 matches the Rfam family "5.8S ribosomal RNA", at positions 35 to 154 of the family's 154-position model. The record is from RNAcentral.
GAUGAAGAACGCAGCGAAAUGCGAUAAGUAAUGUGAAUUGCAGAAUUCAGUGAACCAUCGAAUCUUUGAACGCACAUUGCGCCCGGCAGUAAUCUGCCGGGCAUGCCUGUCCGAGCGUCAUUUCUCCCCUCGAGCGCAGCUUUCCCCCCCGGGGGAGGGCCGCGCCCGGUGUUGGGGCGCUACGGAGGAGCCCAGCGCUCCCCCGUAGGCCCCGAAAUGUAGUGGCGGCCCCGCCGCGGCGCCCCCUGCGUAGUAGUUUUACAACUCGCAUCGGGUCCCGGCGGAGGCCAGCCGUCAAACCCCCCAACUUCAAUAGUUUGACCCCGGAUCAGGUAGGGUUACCCGCUGAACUUAAGCAUAUCAAUAAGCGGAGGA